GAUCAUGGCUCAGGAUGAACGCUAGCUACAGGCUUAACACAUGCAAGUCGAGGGGCAGCAUGGUCUUAGCUUGCUAAGGCCGAUGGCGACCGGCGCACGGGUGAGUAACACGUAUCCAACCUGCCGUCUACUCUUGGACAGCCUUCUAGAAAGGAAGAUUAAUACAAGAUGGACAUCAUGACGUCCGCAUGUCACAUGAUUAAAGGUAUUCCGGUAGACGAGUGGGG
Molecule: ribosomal RNA, 227 nt
Filed under: uncultured bacterium
Lineage: Bacteria
Description: partial 16S ribosomal RNA
Rfam family: Bacterial small subunit ribosomal RNA
Source: RNAcentral